RNAcentral lists this ribosomal RNA (253 nucleotides) under uncultured bacterium. Its description in RNAcentral is "partial 16S ribosomal RNA". It matches the Rfam family "Bacterial small subunit ribosomal RNA", at positions 524 to 776 of the family's 1533-position model. The record is from RNAcentral.
UACGUAGGGUCCGAGCGUUGUCCGGAAUUAUUGGGCGUAAAGGGCUCGUAGGCGGUCUGUUGCGUCGGGAGUGAAAACUUACAGCUUAACUGUGAGCGUGCUUUCGAUACGGGCAGACUUGAGCCAUUCAGGGGAGAACGGAAUUCCUGGUGUAGCGGUGAAAUGCGCAGAUAUCAGGAGGAACACCGGUGGCGAAGGCGGUUCUCUGGGAAUGUCCUGACGCUGAGGAGCGAAAGUGUGGGGAGCGAACAGG